RNAcentral lists this long non-coding RNA (2069 nucleotides) under Prunus persica (peach). RNAcentral describes it as "long non-coding RNA (PPER_LNC007939)". Lineage: Eukaryota; Viridiplantae; Streptophyta; Magnoliopsida; Rosales; Rosaceae. The record is from RNAcentral.
AUCUACAAAAACUCCUUCAUGGUCAAAUUGAAAUUGAAAACCCUUCUUAAACAUUUCCAAUUUUAUAAGUAAAUCGAAAUACAAUCGGUUCUUAAGCCUUCCACUCACUUUGGAUCUUAAUUACAACAAACUGACUCUGUCUAUUUUGGCAGAGUUUGAGAAUAUGAGGAUGCUUCGCUUCGCACGAUGAACUUGAGAAACUACACUCUAUCUGGAGAUAUCCCCAAAGCUGUUUCCAAGAUUAUAAAAAAAAAAAUUCAAAAUUUGGGUGCCAGCAGUUAGUAUCGAAAGCCUGACCUCCAACAACUAUGACUUAUUUUACGAAUCCACUGUAGUAAAAAUGCAAAUUGUUAUCUAUUUGCAUAAACAACAUAUUUAGAUGCAUCAAAACUAUAUAUAAAAAAAUAUAUAUAUAUAUAUUUAUUAAAGAGCCGACAUUUUCUUUUUCAUUUCUGUUCGUCUCCUCUUUACAGAACCCUAACUAAGCCAAGCACCGCCGUCACCUCCAUCUUUUCUCUAUAUCCAUGGAGCGUACGGAGCUUGCUGUUGAGGAGAACAACGAUCUGCCUCGUCCGCCGCCAUCUUGUUGUUGAGGAGAACAACGAUCUUGUAGUUCGAUAUGAUUUCGAAAAAUCAGAAUCUCUCUACAUGGUAUCUUCUGUUCCAUUUUUAUGCGAUUUCCUUAUUUCUCUGGUCUCACAGUUCCUUCCAUAUUAGUCUUUCUUAAACUUUUCGUUGAUACGGAGUAAUUACGACCAUUAGAUUAAUUGUGUGGCUUCAUCAACAUGAACAUGAUUAUCAUCAGAAUUAUAUAACUGAGUCUGAUGAUGAUAAUCGUGUUUGAAAAAUGCCACUUCUGCUUAUUUUAGACUAUAGUUUUUAUUCUCGUUAGGGGAUCUGAUCCUUUAGUUAGUUUGGAGCUUGAUUCUAGUGGAUUCUCCCCUUUUUGCAUUUGUUUCUCUUGCUGUUCCAGUUGUGUUUUUCUAGCCCUUUCGGGUUUUUUUUUUUGUUUUUUUUUUUUGCGAAAGAAGAACUCAUUGAUAACAAUUAAGAGGAUACAACCAUGUCAUCAUUUACAAUUGAUUCCAGCCAGAAGGGAACCUCUUCAACCAUGUCAUCGUUUAUUAAUGCACUGAUUUUGAAAAGAAAAAAAAAACUUUAGCAGUACUAUACAACCUAAAUGCUAUUUGCUUUGUAAGAAUAAACUUCUAUGAAAUGAAAGAGUUUCGCGGGAAUUGUCUUGAUCAUCGGAUAAGGAGAGAGAGGGUGGUUCCCUAAAAAACUGUUUUAAAAAACCUCGAAUGACAAUUAAAUUAGUCAUGCAAGAUGCUUAUGAUAGGAUUAAUUGGAAUGAUCUCUUUACUUGUGAAAUUUGGUUUUCAACAAACUUGGAUUAACGUGAUUAGAGAACUGUUUCUUAUUCAAAUUUAAUCAAUGGUAAACCUUAUGAAAAUAUUACACCUAGGGGUGGGCACUCAAACUGGAAAUCCGAGCCGAACCACACCGAACCAAACCGGAAAAAAACCGAGUUGAUCAAAAAGUCAAAAACCGAUCAAAAAUCGAACCGGACCGGUUUGGAUCGAUUUCGGAUCCGGUUCCAUGUCUUCAAAAACCAAACCGGGCCGAACCGAACCAGUGAAACUAAAAAAAUAUAUAGUUACAAUAUAUAUUUAUAUUUAAUGCUAUAUUUUUAAUUUCAUUAAAAAAAAACCUAAGAUUUAUCCAAGUUCAAUGUCAAAAUAUCUCUCUUUUCUCACUUUAAUAUUUAUUUUUUAUAUGAAAUUGAAUAAUUUGUUAAUUUUCAAGUAAAAAAAUAAUAUUUCAGUUGAGAAUUGUAUUAAAAAAUAAUUUAAAAAAAUAAUUUUUAUAAUCCGGUUCAAAAUCGAAUCGGAACUGGAACCGGACCGAAACCGGUUCAAACCGAACAGGACAGUUUUUGAAAUUUUUUUUAUUAAAAUCGAACCGAAUCAAACUGGAUGAAUAGUAUCGGAUCGGUUCUAAUUUGAGACAAAAACCGGUCCAAAUCGAACCGUGCCCACCCCUAAUUACACCUUCUAGAGGAUUAAGAC